GCCCGGAUGGCGGAACCGGUAGACGCAAAGGGACUUAAAAUCCCUCGGCCGCACGGCCAUGCAGGUUCGACCCCUGCUCCGGGCACCA
RNAcentral lists this transfer RNA (88 nucleotides) under Burkholderiales bacterium. RNAcentral's name for it is "tRNA-Leu". It matches the Rfam family "tRNA". Rfam says of the family: Transfer RNA (tRNA) molecules are approximately 80 nucleotides in length. Their secondary structure includes four short double-helical elements and three loops (D, anti-codon, and T loops). Lineage: Bacteria; Pseudomonadati; Pseudomonadota; Betaproteobacteria; Burkholderiales. The record is from RNAcentral.